This 581-nucleotide ribosomal RNA is filed under the name Haloferula sp. BvORR071. RNAcentral's name for it is "bacterial SSU rRNA". It matches the Rfam family "Bacterial small subunit ribosomal RNA", at positions 102 to 684 of the family's 1533-position model. The record is from RNAcentral. Lineage: Bacteria; Pseudomonadati; Verrucomicrobiota; Verrucomicrobiia; Verrucomicrobiales; Verrucomicrobiaceae.
ACGGGUGCGUAACACGUGAGUUACAUGCCCUGCAGUGGGGAAUAGCCCGCCGAAAGGCGGAUUAAUACCCCAUGGUCCCGCAAGGGUAAAGGUGGCGAAAGCUGCCGCUGCAGGAUUGGCUCGCGGCCUAUCAGCUAGUUGGCGGGGUAACGGCCCACCAAGGCAACGACGGGUACCUGGUCUGAGAGGAUGAUCAGGCACACUGGAACUGAGACACGGUCCAGACACCUACGGGUGGCAGCAGUCGAGAAUAAUUCACAAUGGACGAAAGUCUGAUGGUGCAACGCCGCGUGGAGGAUGAAGGUCUUCGGAUUGUAAACUCCUGUCAUUGGGGAGUAAGACCUGGCGGUGAAUAGCCGACAGGGUUGAUAGUACCCAAAGAGGAAGGGACGGCUAACUUCGUGCCAGCAGCCGCGGUAAUACGAAGGUCCCGAGCGUUGUUCGGAAUCACUGGGCGUAAAGGGAGCGUAGGCGGCAUGGUAAGUCAGAUGUGAAAUCCCGGGGCUCAACCCCGGAACUGCAUCCGAUACUGCCUUGCUUGAGGGUUGGAGAGGUGACUGGAAUUCUCGGUGUAGCAGUGA